Molecule: ribosomal RNA, 393 nt
Filed under: uncultured bacterium
Lineage: Bacteria
Description: partial 16S ribosomal RNA
Rfam family: Bacterial small subunit ribosomal RNA
Source: RNAcentral
AUACGGAGGAUCCGAGCGUUAUCCGGAUUUAUUGGGUUUAAAGGGAGCGUAGAUGGGUUGUUAAGUCAGUUGUGAAAGUUUGCGGCUCAACCGUAAAAUUGCAAUUGAUACUGGCAGCCUUGAGUACAGUUGAGGUAGGCGGAAUUCGUGGUGUAGCGGUGAAAUGCUUAGAUAUCACGAAGAACUCCGAUUGCGAAGGCAGCCUACUAAACUGCCGCUGACAUUGAUGCUCGAAAGUGUGGGUAUCAAACAGGAUUAGAUACCCUGGUAGUCCACACGGUAAACGAUGAAUACUCGCUGUUUGCGAUAUACAGCAAGCGGCCAAGCGAAAGCGUUAAGUAUUCCACCUGGGGAGUACGCCGGCAACGGUGAAACUCAAAGGAAUUGACGGGG